CAAUCGGCCCUUUUCAGGGCCAUCAUACAAUUUAAACGUUGGACAAU
Non-coding RNA from Trichomalopsis sarcophagae, 47 nucleotides. The record is from Rfam. NCBI's taxonomy places the organism in Eukaryota, Metazoa, Arthropoda, Insecta, Hymenoptera, Pteromalidae.